Molecule: long non-coding RNA, 1150 nt
Organism: Ictalurus punctatus (channel catfish)
Lineage: Eukaryota; Metazoa; Chordata; Actinopteri; Siluriformes; Ictaluridae
Source: Ensembl
UGUAAUAUUAGUUCAUGAGUUAGCUUGUUUACUGUAAUAUUAGUUCAUGACUUGUUUACUGUAAUGAUAGUUUGAGUUAGCUUGUCUACUGUAAUAUUAGUUCAUGAGUUAGCUUGUUUACUGUAAUAUUAGUUCAUGAGUUAACUUGUUUACUGUAAUGCUAGUUUGAGUUAGCUUGUCUACUGUAAUAUUAGUUCAUGAGUAAGCUUGUUUACUGUAAUGCUAGUUUGAGUUAGCUUGUUUACUGUAAUAUUAGUUCAUGAGUUAGCUUGUUUACUGUAAUGCUAGUUUGAGUUAGCUUGUUUACUGUAAUAUUAGUUCAGGAGUUAACUUGUUUACUCUAAUGCUAGUUUGUCAGUAUUAUGCCAGCUCUAUUGUGACACUAGUUUAUUGUUUAGCAUGUCUACUCCAAUGCUAGUAUUUCUCUUUUUAUUAUUAUAGGUUAUUUUUUAAAAUAAGCAAGUUUAAAUUUUUAUAUUUGUUUCAGUUGACCUUUUAAAAGUCAGUUUUAGUUAGUAAAUAGUCCUUUUCUAGCUGUAUUGUUUUUCCUCAGAAAGCUACAUUUAAUCAAGCUUUUAUGUAUAAUUUACGGUUAUAGUUGAAUAAUUUUAGCUUUGAGUACGAAAAGUCAUACAAAAAACAAAACAAAACAAAACAAAAAGACAGUAACAUUUUAAUUUUAGUAAAUCAUUCUAUUUCAGUUUUUUUUUGUGGUUUUAUUUUGUGCUAACUACAAUAACCUUGCUAACACCUCGCCUCAUGCUUCAUUUAUGACUCCCUAAAAAAAAACCAACAUUCACACGUUUAAUAUUUUUCAGCGACCUUUCUGAGUAGUUAUUGCGCUCUUAUUUAUCGCGGUCUCCACGGGGAUCGUGAGUCGUACGUCUCGUUUUAUAUUAAUGUGAACGAGGCCGUUUAGCUCGUUAAGCUUCUUAACGGCGUGAAACAGUCUCGUGUGUUUCACUCGAAUCUGUGCAUUUUUAAAUUCCCUCGAGCGCAGACAGAAAGGCUCGUAACGCAGAGACGUGUAUGUGUGUGUGUGUGUUCCUGCUGUGCGAGGUGUUUUGCGGUGUUUACACACGCCGUUCCCCGGCGACGCUCCCCAUUGAGUAUAACACAUAAAUAAGUUCAGUGAUCCAGGAAUACAAAC